RNAcentral lists this long non-coding RNA (608 nucleotides) under Homo sapiens (human). Its description in RNAcentral is "HSALNT0167755". The record is from RNAcentral. Lineage: Eukaryota; Metazoa; Chordata; Mammalia; Primates; Hominidae.
UCUGUCCCAAACUGGUUUAGGUCAUCUCCAAAUGCUAUGAAGUUGAGCCUGGAUCCCAUAGCAAAAGGAGGACUGACUUCCUUCAUCCUGAAAGAAACCAUGGCAAAUAGAAGCUUACACAUUUGGCAAAGGAGCCUGUCAUCACUAUCUCUCAAGAUUGGAUGCAUGCAGAAGAAUUUUAUCAGCUUCUCAAGGCAGGACAUUCCACAGAACACUCUACCUUUCUGACUUUCUACCUUCAUAUUCCAAUGUCUUAACUACAUACUUUUUUUCCCAAAAUAAUGGUACCCAAACUUUAAUGAGCAUUAAAAUCAUUCACUGUGUUCAUUAAAAUUAGUAUUUCCCAGCUCAAUCUGAAAAAAAAAAUAUGUAAUGGACCUGGGGCUGGACCUAGGAACCUACAUUUUUAACAAUUAUUUCAAGUGAUUCUUUUUGCUUUGGUCCACAAAUAAAAGCCCCCAAUUUUUUUUUAUCUAACUGACUCUUAAAGCCUUUAUCUAACUAUAAAUCCCAGGCAUAUGAAAGACCUAAGAUGAUGCCCAGGAUGCAUUAACACUCAAUUUAUUUCAGUUUACUCCCUUUUCCUCCUUGCUCAAGAUUAUGCCAUA